This is a long non-coding RNA of Canis lupus familiaris (dog), 1171 nucleotides long. RefSeq lists it as uncharacterized. The record is from RefSeq and is a predicted model, not a curated record. The transcript is spliced from 2 exons. NCBI's taxonomy places the organism in Eukaryota, Metazoa, Chordata, Mammalia, Carnivora, Canidae.
AGAGGGUCAUACUCUGACAGUGGAGGAAGGGGCCACAAACCAAGCUACCAGCAACUAUGAGAAGCUGAAAAAGGCAAGAAAAUGGAUUUUAUUCUCAGAGCUUUCAGAGGGAACCAGCCCUGUGGACACCUUAACAUUAACACUGCAAAUGGGUUUCAGACUUCUGACUUCUAAAACUCUAAGAGGAUAGAGUUGUGUUGUUUUAAGACACCAGCUACCACUCUGGCUCAUCUCCUGAUGCUUGGAUUGUAACUAAAGUCUUCAAACAGUUUAUCUACAUUUUCUCUCUACUACAGUAUAUCCUCAACACAGUCAAGAUGACAAUCUCCAAUUUUCAAAAGAUCAAAAUUUCACAACCUUCAUAAGAUUUUCCUUCUUAUAUAAGAACCACCAGUCACUUCCUACAACCUGGUCUACCAGUCUGCAUUUGCCUUAAUAUUUUUGGUGAGCCAUUAACAUAUUACCCUGCUCCAAAGCACCAGCCCCUCAGAUUCAUAACUCAGUGUGUUCUAAAUAUGUUCUCUCCUCCUAGAAGCUGAUUCCCUCUGAUCAAUCCCAUUAUUUGGCUUGCUCAUUCCAACUACCUCUAAUGCCUACCUUAAAUAGCCUUAAAGAACUAUUCCUAGCUUUAUUUCCUACAACUCUGAUCACUUACUGAGUCUGUCAAUGAAAAUUCAUUACAAUAUUCUCCUUGGACCGCAUACUCAAUUAUAGAUGAGACAUUUGCUAAUUGAAUUUCUCUUUGAUUUGGACCUAGAAGAGAUAUGACACACUGAAUACAAUACACAAUACAUUAUAGGAAGAUUUGACAUCAUCCCUGCCUCUCUGCAUUCUCUCUUCCCUCUUCAGAAUUUCAGCUCCAAAUUAGGCCCUUCCACCAUCAUUCACGACAGCCAAACAUGACUCUGUUAUUGCACUAUUGUAUUAUAUUGUUAGCUCCUAAGACUAAAAUUUUCAAUUUGGAAGGCAAGAACAACACCCAGUCAUUACAUUAAGAGAAUAUAAUGUUAUACAACAACGACUAAUAUUAGGUUUUCAAUAAAUUAAUCAAUCUAUCCAUUUAUGGAGAGUAGCCACUAUGUGUCAGACAAUGGUUCAUUUAAUACAGAUUUUUCAGUGAGCAAAUGAACAUAAUCCUAAGUGAAUAAAUAAAAGUGCAUCUUCAUAUUCC